UUUGGGAAGGGAUGAGUGGGGAGAGGUUUAGUCCUUCUGAAUGUAUUUUAUUUUCCUUUUCCGAAUCUUGAUAUAAUUGGGGGGGAAAAAACACACGUUUAUUCAUCAGGUAAUCUGGGAGGAAAUGAAUGGCAGGAGAAUGAGGAACAGAAAGGAGAGCUUUCCGAGGAGAACAGAAAGUGACUGGAGUUUUAGGAGAUCAAGCAUUCAAGGGAGUCUGUGAAGGAAGUAAGAACCAAUCGUGGAAAAGGAGACGAGAGAGGCUGGAGGCCCGGCAACGUGCCUCCAACGGGCGAAAACACGGCUGCGCAGAACAAAAGCCGCCGGGAGGAGAGGAAAUCCCACUGGAGGAAAUCCCACUGGAGGCGAUCCCCUAGCGCAGCUCAGGCCGACUCCGCAGGAGCCCGACUCCGGCAGGGGCAACGGAGAGCGAGGCAAGGGCAACAAAACAAAAAUGAACAGAUGAGACUACAUCAAACUACAGUGCUUUUGCACAGUGAAACAGAAAGUCAGCCUACGGAAUGGGAGAAGAUAGUUGUAAAUGAUAUGUCUGAUAAGGAGUUAAUAUCAAAAAUAAGAAGAUAUAAAACUCAGUAUCAAAAAAUCUGAUUUUAAAAUGGCCAGAGGAAGUCAAUAGACAUUUUUCAAAGAAGAUGUGCAAAUGGCCAGCUGAUGUGUGAAAAGGUGCUCGACAUCAGUAAUCAUCAUGAAAGUGUAAAUCAAAACAAGGUACCACCUCACACCUAACAGAAGGGCUGCUAUUAAAGCAACAACUCACAAAGGUUGUCAAGGAUGUGGAUAAAAUGUUUAUGGACAUUUUUUAUAUUUAUAUUUGUUUAUGCACUGUUUAUGGAAAUAUAAAUUUGUGCAGCCACUAUGGGAAAAAGUAUGGAUGUUCCUCAAAAAAAAUAAAAAUGGAACUAAUAUAUGA
Bubalus bubalis (water buffalo) is the source of this 931-nucleotide long non-coding RNA. RefSeq lists it as uncharacterized. The transcript is spliced from 2 exons. The record is from RefSeq and is a predicted model, not a curated record. Lineage: Eukaryota; Metazoa; Chordata; Mammalia; Artiodactyla; Bovidae.